RNAcentral lists this ribosomal RNA (210 nucleotides) under uncultured bacterium. RNAcentral's name for it is "partial 16S ribosomal RNA". It matches the Rfam family "Bacterial small subunit ribosomal RNA", at positions 568 to 774 of the family's 1533-position model. The record is from RNAcentral.
CUUGUAGGCGGUUUGUCGCGUCUGCCGUGAAAUUUCGGGGCUCAACCCCGAACUUGCGGUGGGGUACGGGCAGACUAGAGUGUGGUAGGGGAGACUGGAAUUCCUGGUGUAGCGGUGAAAUGCGCAGAUAUCAGGAGGAACACUGAUGGCGAAGGCAGGUCUCUGGGCCACUACUGACGCUGAGAAGCGAAAGCAGUGGGGGAGCGAACA